UCCAGACUCCUACGGGAGGCAGCAGUGGGGGAUAUUGCACAAUGGGGGGAACCCUGAUGCAGUGACGCCGCGUGGGUGAAGAAGCGCCUCGGCGCGUAAAGCCCUGUCAGCAGGGAAGAAAAUGACGGUACCUGAAGAAGAAGCCCCGGCUAACUACGUGCCAGCAGCCGCGGCAAUACGUAGGGGGCAAGCGUUAUCCGGAUUCACUGGGCGUAAAGGGAGCGCAGGCGGCAUGGCAAGUCUGAUGUGAAAACCCGGGGCCCAACCCCGGGAGUGCAUUGGAAACUGCCAGGCUGGAGUGUCGGAGGGGUAAGCGGAAUUCCUAGUGUAGCGGUGAAAUGCGUAGAUAUUAGGAGGAACACCAGUGGCGAAGGCGGCUUACUGGACGACUACUGACGCUGAGGCUCGAAAGCGUGGGGAGCAAACAGGAUUAGAUACCCGGGUAA
This 446-nucleotide ribosomal RNA is filed under the name uncultured bacterium. RNAcentral describes it as "bacterial SSU rRNA". It matches the Rfam family "Bacterial small subunit ribosomal RNA", at positions 330 to 793 of the family's 1533-position model. The record is from RNAcentral.